RNAcentral lists this ribosomal RNA (253 nucleotides) under uncultured bacterium. RNAcentral describes it as "partial 16S ribosomal RNA". It matches the Rfam family "Bacterial small subunit ribosomal RNA", at positions 524 to 776 of the family's 1533-position model. The record is from RNAcentral.
UACAGAGGGUGCGAGCGUUAAUCGGAGUACUUGGGCGUAAAGGGCAUGUAGGUGGUUUAUCGGGUUUAAUGUGAAAGCCCUGGGCUUAACCUAGGAAUGGCGUUAAAGACAGAUAGACUGGAGUCGGACAGAGGGCAGUGGAAUUCUCGGUGUAGCGGUGAAAUGCGUAGAGAUCGGGAGGAACACCGAUGGCGAAGGCAAUCCCCUGGGCCUGCACUGACGCUCAUGCACGAAAGCGUGGGGAGCAAACAGG